GACGAACGCUGGCGGCGUGCUUAACACAUGCAAGUCGAACGCUGAAGACCUGGCUUUUGUUGGGUUGGAUGAGUGGCGAACGGGUGAGUAACACGUGAGUAACCUGCCCUCUUCUUUGGGAUAACGCCCGGAAACGGGUGCUAAUACUGGAUAUUCACUGAUCUUGCAUGGGGGUUGGUGGAAAGGUUUGUUCUGGUGGGGGAUGGGCUCGCGGCCUAUCAGCUUGUUGGUGGGGUGAUGGCCUACCAAGGCUUUGACGGGUAGCCGGCCUGAGAGGGUGACCGGUCACAUUGGGACUGAGAUACGGCCCAGACUCAUACGGGAGGCAGCAGUGGGGAAUAUUGCACAAUGGGCGAAAGCCUGAUGCAGCGACGCCGCGUGAGGGAUGGAGGCCUUCGGGUUGUACACCUCUUUCGCUCAUGGUCAAGCCGCAACUGUGGGUUGUGGUGAGGGUAGUGGGUAAAGAAGCGCCGGCUAACUACGUG
This 485-nucleotide ribosomal RNA is filed under the name uncultured bacterium. Its description in RNAcentral is "partial 16S ribosomal RNA". It matches the Rfam family "Bacterial small subunit ribosomal RNA", at positions 28 to 507 of the family's 1533-position model. The record is from RNAcentral.